AGAUUGAACGCUGGCGGCAGGCCUAACACAUGCAAGUCGAGCGGUAGAGAGGUGCUUGCAUCUCUUGAGAGCGGCGGACGGGUGAGUAAUGCCUAGGAAUCUGCCUAGUGGUGGGGGAUAACGCUCGGAAACGGACGCUAAUACCGCAUACGUCCUACGGGAGAAAGCGGGGGACCUUCGGGCCUCGCGCCAUUAGAUGAGCCUAGGCCGGAUUAGCUAGUUGGUGGGGUAAUGGCCUACCAAGGCGACGACGGGUAGCCGACCUGAGAGGGUGACCGGCCAAGACUGGGACUGGAGACACGGCCCAGACUCCUACGGGAGGCAGCAGUGGGAAUAUGCACAAUGGGCGAAAGCCUGAUGCAGCGACGCCGCGUGAGGGGUGACGGCCUUCGGGUUGUAAACCUCUUUCAGUCAGGGCAAGCGCAAGUGACGGUCCUGCAGAAGAAGCAACCG
This 453-nucleotide ribosomal RNA is filed under the name uncultured soil bacterium. RNAcentral's name for it is "bacterial SSU rRNA". It matches the Rfam family "Bacterial small subunit ribosomal RNA", at positions 26 to 496 of the family's 1533-position model. The record is from RNAcentral.